Molecule: non-coding RNA, 821 nt
Filed under: Saccharomycodes ludwigii
Lineage: Eukaryota; Fungi; Ascomycota; Saccharomycetes; Saccharomycodales; Saccharomycodaceae
Source: RNAcentral
UAGGAAAAUCAUAUAUAUAAUAUAUUAUAUAUAAAUUAAUAUAUAAUAUACAUAUAUAUAUAUAUAUACAUAUAUAUAUAUAAUUAAUAUAUUUAAUAUUUAUAAUAAUUAAUAAUAAAAUAAUAAUUAUUAAUAAUAAUAAUAAAUAAUUAUAAAUUAUAUAAAAAUUAAUUAAUAUAUAUAUAUAUAUUAAAUAAAUAAUUAAUAAUAUUAAUAUAUUAUAAAUAGAAAUAUAUUUAUAUUAAUAAUUGAUAUAUAUAUAAAUUAUUAUAUAUAUCAUAUAUUUAUAUAAAUAAUAAAUAAAUAAUAAUAAUAUUGUUAUUAUAUAUAUUAUAUAUUAUAUAUUAUAUAAAAUAAUAAUUAAAUAUAAUUAUAUAAUUAUAUAAUUAUAAAUAAUUUAUUAAAUUAUAUAUAUAUAUAUAUAAUAAAUAAAUAAUAAUUAAAUUAUUAUUAAUAAUUGAAUAAUUGAAAAGAAUAUUAAUUAAUUAAUUAAUAAUUAAUAUAUAUAUAUAUAUAUUAUCAUUAUUAUUAUAUAAUUAAUAAUUAUAUUAUUUAUAAUAAUAAAUAAUUAUUAUAAUAUAUAAAUAUAAAAUAUUAUAUAUAUAAUUAUAUUAUAUAUAUAUAUUAUAUUAUAUAUAUAAAUAUAAAAUAUAAAAUAUUAUAUAUAUAAUUAAUAUAAUAAUAAUAAUAAAAUUAAAUUAUUAAUAUUAAUAAGUGUUAUAAAAUAUUAUAUAUAUUAUAAUAUAUAAUUAUUAUAUAUAUAAUUGAUAAAUAAUAAUUAAAUUAUAUUAUAAUAAUAAUAAUAACUAAAAUAUGGUUAA